Molecule: long non-coding RNA, 661 nt
Filed under: Mytilus galloprovincialis (Mediterranean mussel)
Lineage: Eukaryota; Metazoa; Mollusca; Bivalvia; Mytilida; Mytilidae
Source: RNAcentral
CAACAGCACACGAUGCUCUUCUGUUUUUAACCAGAAACAAUGUAAAUUAAAGAGUUUUAUGAUAAGUAAGGAAAGCAUAAGUGUAGGCAAAGUUGCUGAAUAUGCCCAAAGUCAUUCUACUUUUGCUCUGAACGAACAAUCGGAAACGUUGAAUGCAUGAAUUUUUUAUCACUUCUUAUUGUAGACACGAUAUUAAGAGACACAAAUCAAUCGAUUUAUUUGUCAGAAGUGACCCAAGAACUAUUCCAAGUUAACCCUUUCGGUACCUCGAAUGUAUAAGAUAGCGCGGCCUCUCUUCGUCUCAUCGUCACUCAAUUGGAGAUCAUACUAUUGUGCAGACGUAAAAUGGAUCUCCUUAAGAUAAUUAAAAGAUACAGAUCAGACAUUGAUCCAAAGCUUCAGCAGUUCGAUGGGAAGUGCUUAAGUACUUUUAGCAGGGAAGAUUUAUUACAAGUAGCCACCAAAAUAAAGAUACAAUUAAAUGACAUUUUAGUGCCCCUAAACGUGCAUGAAACGAGAGAGAACUUAUGCAAAGUUGUUAGUUUUGCACUAUAGCAAGAGUACGCAUUGAAAGAGGAUAAGGUUGAAGAACCUCCAAAGAAGAAAAAUAAAACUACAGAAAACAAGUCGUCAGGGGUAAGUUUCUAAGUUUAUUUGACGC